CAUUCGGGGUGGAUCAGUGGCGAACGGGUGAGUAACACGUGGGCAAUCUGCCCUGCACUCUGGGACAAGCCCUGGAAACGGGGUCUAAUACCGGAUAUGACCUGCUCCUGCAUGGGGGUGGGUGUAAAGCUCCGGCGGUGCAGGAUGGGCCCGCGGCCUAUCAGCUUGUUGGUGGGGUAAUGGCCUACCAAGGCGACGACGGGUAGCCGGCCUGAGAGGGCGACCGGCCACACUGGGACUGAGACACGGCCCAGACUCCUACGGGAGGCAGCAGUGGGGAAUAUUGCACAAUGGGCGCAAGCCUGAUGCAGCGACGCCGCGUGAGGGAUGACGGCCUUCGGGUUGUAAACCUCUUUCAGCAGGGACGAAGCGCAAGUGACGGUACCUGCAGAAGAAGCACCGGCUAACUACGUGCCAGCAGCCGCGGUAAUACGUAGGGUGCGAGCGUUGUCCGGAAUUAUUGGGCGUAAAGAGCUCGUAGGCGGCUUGUCGCGUCGGAUGUGAAAGCCCGGGGCUCAACCCCGGGUCUGCAUUCGAUACGGGCAGGCUGGAGUGUGGUAGGGGAGAUCGGAAUUCCUGGUGUAGCGGUGAAAUGCGCAGAUAUCAGGAGGAACACCGGUGGCGAAGGCGGAUCUCUGGGCCAUUACUGACGCUGAGGAGCGAAAGCGUGGGGAGCGAACAGGAUUAGAUACCCUGGUAGUCCACGCCGUA
RNAcentral lists this ribosomal RNA (711 nucleotides) under Kitasatospora sp. RNAcentral describes it as "bacterial SSU rRNA". It matches the Rfam family "Bacterial small subunit ribosomal RNA", at positions 78 to 804 of the family's 1533-position model. The record is from RNAcentral. Lineage: Bacteria; Bacillati; Actinomycetota; Actinomycetes; Kitasatosporales; Streptomycetaceae.